UACGAAGGGUGCAAGCGUUGUUCGGAAUUACUGGGCGUAAAGCACGCGUAGGCGGCUUGAUAAGUUGGAAGUGAAAUCCCGGGGCUCAACCUCGGAAUUGCUUUCAAAACUAUUAAGCUAGAGUAUGGCAGGGGACAGUGGAAUUCCUAGUGUAGAGGUGAAAUUCGUAGAUAUUAGGAGGAACACCAGUGGCGAAAGCGACUGUCUGGACCAUUACUGACGCUGAGGCGUGAAAGCGUGGGGAGCAAACAGG
This 253-nucleotide ribosomal RNA is filed under the name uncultured bacterium. RNAcentral describes it as "partial 16S ribosomal RNA". It matches the Rfam family "Bacterial small subunit ribosomal RNA", at positions 524 to 776 of the family's 1533-position model. The record is from RNAcentral.